Molecule: ribosomal RNA, 978 nt
Filed under: uncultured organism
Description: bacterial SSU rRNA
Rfam family: Bacterial small subunit ribosomal RNA
Source: RNAcentral
AGAGUUGAUCCUGGCUCAGGAUGAACGCUAGCGGCAGGCUUAACACAUGCAAGUCGAGGGGUAACGAUGGUGCUUGCACCAGGCGACGACCGGCGGACGGGUGAGUAACACGUAUGCAAUUUGCCUUUAACUGGAGGAUAGCUUCGGGAAACCGUAAUUAAUACUCCAUAGUAUUCAAAAGACGCAUGUUUUUUGAAUUAAAGCUCCGGCGGUUAAAGAUAAGCAUGCGGGACAUUAGCUAGUUGGUAAGGUAACGGCUUACCAAGGCGACGAUGUCUAGGGGGUUUGAGAGGAUGAUCCCCCACACUGGUACUGAGACACGGACCAGACUCCUACGGGAGGCAGCAGUGAGGAAUAUUGGGCAAUGGGCGCAAGCCUGACCCAGCCAUGCCGCGUGCAGGAUGAAGGUCCUAUGGAUCGUAAACUGCUUUUGUAUGGGAAGAACUUCCCGCAUUCGUGCGGGAUUGACGGUACUAUACGAAUAAGGACCGGCUAACUCCGUGCCAGCAGCCGCGGUAAUACGGAGGGUCCAAGCGUUAUCCGGAUUCACUGGGUUUAAAGGGUGCGUAGGUGGAACGAUAAGUCGAUGGUGAAAGCCUACAGCUUAACUGUAGAAUUGCCAUUGAUACUGUUGUUCUUGAGUAUAGUCGGGGGAAGUGGAAUGCGUAAUGUAGCGGUGAAAUGCAUAGAUAUUACGCAGAACACCGAUCGCGAAAGCAGCUUCCUAGGCUAUUACUGACACUGAGGCACGAAAGCGUGGGGAGCGAACAGGAUUAGAUACCCUGGUAGUCCACGCCGUAAACGAUGCUCACUCGCUGUUGGCGAUAUAUUGUCAGCAGUUAAGCUAAAGCAUUAAGUGAGCCACCUGGGAAGUACGUCCGCAAGGAUGAAACUUCCAAGGAAUUUGACGGGGGCCCGUACAACCGGCUGGGAACCAUGUGGUUCAAUUCGAUGAUUACGCGAGGAACCUUACCUGGG